Molecule: transfer RNA, 72 nt
Filed under: Camelus bactrianus (Bactrian camel)
Lineage: Eukaryota; Metazoa; Chordata; Mammalia; Artiodactyla; Camelidae
Also listed under: 1 other name
Rfam family: tRNA
About the family: Transfer RNA (tRNA) molecules are approximately 80 nucleotides in length. Their secondary structure includes four short double-helical elements and three loops (D, anti-codon, and T loops).
Source: Rfam by way of RNAcentral
CGAGGUGUAGCCCAGUGGCAGAGUGCUUGCCUAGCGUGCGUGAGGUCCUGGGUUCAACCCCCAGUACCUCCA